CCUACGGGCGACAGCAGUGAGGAAUAUUGGUCAAUGGACGAGAGUCUGAACCAGCCAAGUAGCGUGAAGGAUGACUGCCCUAUGGGUUGUAAACUUCUUUUAUAUGGGAAUAAAACGUUCCACGUGUGGGAUUUUGUAUGUACCAUAUGAAUAAGGAUCGGCUAACUCCGUGCCAGCAGCCGCGGUAAUACGGAGGAUCCGAGCGUUAUCCGGAUUUAUUGGGUUUAAAGGGAGCGUAGGUGGAUUGUUAAGUCAGUUGUGAAAGUUUGCGGCUCAACCGUAAAAUUGCAGUUGAAACUGGCAGUCUUGAGUACAGGAGAGGUGGGCGGAAUUCGUGGUGUAGCGGUGAAAUGCUUAGAUAUCACGAAGAACUCCGAUUGCGAAGGCAGUUCACUGGACUGCAACUGACACUGAGGCUCGAAAGUGUGGGUAUCAAACAGGAUUAGAUACCCCAGUAGUC
Molecule: ribosomal RNA, 460 nt
Filed under: uncultured bacterium
Lineage: Bacteria
Description: partial 16S ribosomal RNA
Rfam family: Bacterial small subunit ribosomal RNA
Source: RNAcentral